GUCUAUGGCCAUAUCACCCUGAACAGGCCUGAUCCCAUCUGGUCUUAGACGCCAACCAGGGUCAGACCCAGUUAGUACUUGGAUGGGAGAAUUGUUCAGCAAUAAUGGCUUGCCAGGAAGCACCCAGGGGGUGUAACA
Piliocolobus tephrosceles (Ugandan red Colobus) is the source of this 138-nucleotide ribosomal RNA. NCBI's taxonomy places the organism in Eukaryota, Metazoa, Chordata, Mammalia, Primates, Cercopithecidae. The record is from Ensembl.